GGAGGAGUGGCCGAGUGGUCUAAGGCAGCGGUUUUGAAAACCGCCGUACCCGUGAGGGUACCAGGGGUUCGAAUCCCUUCUCCUCCG
RNAcentral lists this transfer RNA (87 nucleotides) under Myxococcales bacterium. RNAcentral describes it as "tRNA-Ser". It matches the Rfam family "tRNA". From Rfam's summary of the family: Transfer RNA (tRNA) molecules are approximately 80 nucleotides in length. Their secondary structure includes four short double-helical elements and three loops (D, anti-codon, and T loops). The record is from RNAcentral. Lineage: Bacteria; Pseudomonadati; Myxococcota; Myxococcia; Myxococcales. RNAcentral also lists the same sequence under 1 other name.